This is a long non-coding RNA of Heterocephalus glaber (naked mole-rat), 964 nucleotides long. Lineage: Eukaryota; Metazoa; Chordata; Mammalia; Rodentia; Bathyergidae. The record is from Ensembl.
GUUUCCAUAUGUUUUCCCUCACAAAUAUCAAGACUGACUUAAAAUAAAUCCUAACAUCAGCAGCCUUUGAGCCUCUCACAGUAAACACAGUUCAUAUGUCUCCGGAGUGUUACUUACUUGGAGCUGGGUGGAAGUCAGCUGCCUCCUUGGUGGCAUUGUAUAUAGUGAAGGUGAGUGGGCAGAGCUGUGGUGGUUUUUAACAGAACAGACCCACCUAGUGUAGGACUUUCCUAACAAGCAUUUCAUGACCCUUUGCAAUGAACAGAGUUCCCAAGAACCAGACAGCCUGAUGAGGCUACCCAGAAUCUUAGAAUAUAUAACAGUUUUAGUGCUCAUUUUCAGCAACCCAGUCCUUCUUUCCAAUGAAACAUUGCCCAGAUGUCCACUCUGUGAAGCAGAAAGAAGUGGCUGAGUAGCGCCCAGGCACCACAGUCAAGGGAUUGAACUCAGGACCUUGUGCUUGCAUGGCAUGUACCGGAACCACUGAGCUAAAUCCCUGGCCCUCGGCAUCUGAGUUUUGACAGAGAAGCCAAAAAUAUAUGCUGGAAGACAGAUAGCCUCUUUAUUUAACAAAUGAUGCUGGGAAAACUAGGUAUCCACAUGCCGAAGAUUGAAUCUAGACCCAUAUAUCUCACAAUCUACUAAAUGAAAAUCAAAAUGGAUCAAAUAUGCUCCUGGGAUCAAGGCAAUGCCAAACCAAUCAGUCGACCGAUUUAGUAAUCACAUACCCUUAAUCCCAACAUCACACACCCUAGAUCCAGCCAUCUCUGAAAAAGCCCCAUCUAAGACCGCAUGAGGUGUUGGGGCUACAUCUAGACACAAGCCAAAACAGCAUAUGAAAAGAGUUAAGAUGUUUUAUGUAUGCAUGCUGACUCCCUGUGUUGAAUAUAACCAUUGUAUACUGCAUAUAUGUACUACUAGUAAAGUUUAAAAAUCAGUAUGUAUGAAUCCUCAAAUGAAACAU